CUCUCUGUAGUUCAGUUGGUUAGAGCACUGCACCGGAAUCGCAGGGCCGCAGGUUCGAUUCCUGCCAGAGGGC
Molecule: transfer RNA, 73 nt
Filed under: Paramuricea clavata
Lineage: Eukaryota; Metazoa; Cnidaria; Anthozoa; Malacalcyonacea; Plexauridae
Rfam family: tRNA
About the family: Transfer RNA (tRNA) molecules are approximately 80 nucleotides in length.
Source: Rfam by way of RNAcentral